This 69-nucleotide transfer RNA is filed under the name Ictidomys tridecemlineatus (thirteen-lined ground squirrel). RNAcentral's name for it is "Spermophilus tridecemlineatus (thirteen-lined ground squirrel) tRNA". It matches the Rfam family "tRNA". Rfam says of the family: Transfer RNA (tRNA) molecules are approximately 80 nucleotides in length. Their secondary structure includes four short double-helical elements and three loops (D, anti-codon, and T loops). The record is from Rfam by way of RNAcentral. Lineage: Eukaryota; Metazoa; Chordata; Mammalia; Rodentia; Sciuridae.
GGGGUUGUGGCUCAGUGAUAGAGCACUUGUCUUGCACAUGUGAGGCCACUUGUUCAAUUCUCAGCACCA